GUGAAAAUUUUCUCCUCUUAUUGGAGUAGGGAGAUGCAUCAUUUCUCAAGUCUUUAUCAAGGAAGUGAUUCUAGCCUGUUCAAUUAAAAAAGAGAGCAAAUAUUUAUGACUGCCAAGUGUUUAGACGCUGAAGGGAGAAAAAGCCAAUUGACUAGAAAGUUGCUGAAGCCUUACCUUCAUGAGUCUCGACAUUUACAUGCCAUGAGAAGGGUAAGAGGUUGUGGAGGCCGUUUUAUAAACACGAAGAAGCUUGAAAACGGUGCUGCUAACACCACAUCUGAUAUGGUCAACAGCUUCAGUGAAACUGUUCCAAAACCUUCAACAAACUCACCAUCAGCUCACUCUUCUAAGAAUGCCGAUCCAUCGGCAGGUAAUGCUGCAAUAGAAUCCCCACAACUGACCUACACUAGUGGCAAUGGUAAUGGGUGCUACCAAUCCUUUCUUGGAUUUCAAUUGUCAUCUUAUCACUCUCAAUCAGAUGGUAUGGUGGAAGAAAGGGAUUGCAACAUGAAAGAAUUAUGGUAGAUUUGAGCCUUGCAUAGGCCGUCACCAGCACUAAACCUUCCUUGGUUCCUUGGUAUCCAACAUUGCCAACUGUAGUAAAGUGUCUACAAAACUUGGAGAAAGGGAAGGUAUUCCACUCUGCAUUGCAUGUACUACUUAAUGCUCUUGUUUGCAUCCCAUAGAAGAUGUUUCUUUCUUACUGAUUGGGUUUUGUAUAUAGUUGGAAAAGCUGGAAGUGUUAACCUUGGUCACAUAUGCAGGAUCCAAGAUUUAUAUGUUUUGUGCUUGCAGGCUAAUCAUUCUUGGCUUUGCCACUGGUAACAGAUAGGGUAUUUCUGGUUUUGCUUAUUUUUUAGUUACGUGUACGUUUAUGGUGGAUGUGUUAUAAGAAAGUGAAGACGAUUAGAUCUAAUAUUGAAGCUUUUGUAGAAAUAUCAUGGAAGUUUUUGGAUGUUUUGGUUUUGCUUGGUCUUCUUUUUCUGUGAUACGACCAUAAAUAUAUUUACUGGAUGAAAAGAGUGUGUGUGGUGUAGACAAAUUUGAUGUUUACGCAACUUUUUCGAUGGGUAGACAUUUCUGUACAAACAGGUAAUAAAUAGAAAAUUAUAUAUCACGUGUACCUCCAUUGGAUGGAUGGCA
This 1143-nucleotide unclassified non-coding RNA is filed under the name Hevea brasiliensis (rubber tree). Lineage: Eukaryota; Viridiplantae; Streptophyta; Magnoliopsida; Malpighiales; Euphorbiaceae. The record is from RNAcentral.